GGUGAACAAGGAACACACAGUUAUCACAAUUCAAAAUAGCAUGCUUUUUAUCAUCUACCAUGCAAAUAAGACCUAAAAGCAAAGGAAAUUUUAAUUAUAACAUCAGCAUUUUAAUCCAAACAAAAUAACAGUUGACCUCAAGUGAGAUUUUGAAAAUUAUGUUGAUAAGAAUUUCAGAAGGGAAUUUUAGAAACUUGAGGCAACCAGGUUAUGAUAAUGCCCAUUGAACAUAGGAAAGGUGUGCGCAAACACGCGC
This 256-nucleotide unclassified non-coding RNA is filed under the name Hevea brasiliensis (rubber tree). The record is from RNAcentral. Lineage: Eukaryota; Viridiplantae; Streptophyta; Magnoliopsida; Malpighiales; Euphorbiaceae.